RNAcentral lists this ribosomal RNA (501 nucleotides) under uncultured bacterium. RNAcentral's name for it is "partial 16S ribosomal RNA". It matches the Rfam family "Bacterial small subunit ribosomal RNA", at positions 30 to 523 of the family's 1533-position model. The record is from RNAcentral.
AUUGAACGCUGGCGGCAGGCUUAACACAUGCAAGUCGAGCGGGGGAAGGUAGCUUGCUACCGGACCUAGCGGCGGACGGGUGAGUAAUGCUUAGGAAUCUGCCUAUUAGUGGGGGACAACAUCUCGAAAGGGAUGCUAAUACCGCAUACGUCCUACGGGAGAAAGCAGGGGAUCUUCGGACCUUGCGCUAAUAGCUGAGCCUAAGUCGGAUUAGCUAGUUGGUGGGGUAAAGGCCUACCAAGGCGACGAUCUGUAGCGGGUCUGAGAGGAUGAUCCGCCACACUGGGACUGAGACACGGCCCAGACUCCUACGGGAGGCAGCAGUGGGGAAUAUUGGACAAUGGGGGGAACCCUGAUCCAGCCAUGCCGCGUGUGUGAAGAAGGCCUUCUGGUUGUAAAGCACUUUAAGCGAGGAGGAGGCUACUUUAGUUAAUACCUAGAGAUAGUGGACGUUACUCGCAGAAUAAGCACCGGCUAACUCUGUGCCAGCAGCCGCAGUAA